UCGAGAACUAGGUCGUAACCACAUAAAAUCAUAAGAUAUAACAUAAACGUUACACAUAACUACUAACAUGGACUCCCGCUCCUUGAAUAGUUUGAAACAAUGGAUAACAGAAGUAUUUACCCUAAGUCGUAAGUACGGGGAGGAUUUGGUAGAUGGCCUCUACAGUCUCCCAAGCUGUGAAAAUGUUCUAUGAUCUUUUUGUCAUCAAUUCCAGCAAAUAUAUCUCGCUCUACAUAGCAUAUCAUUCAACCAAUCAUCAGAUGUCUUAUUUCUCAAAUCACUCUGAAUGAUAUUCAUGGCUAAGAAAACUCUUUCAACAUAUGUCGUCGCUUGCUGAUUUUGCAAACAACAGCAACACGUUUGCAUGAGCUCGAUCUUGAUCCACUGCCGCCGCUGGCUCCUCCCACACAGGCCACACCCGGCACCGCUGCUUCUUUCCAUUCGCCCAUACGUGGACCGACGAACGGUGGAUCUGGAUCAGGUGACCGCGGCCGGUGGCCAGGCGAGGCAGAGCUCUUCGGUGACGAGCCGGCAGCCGGGCGAGGCGAGGCAGAGCUCUUCGGUGACGAGCCGGCAGCCGGGCGAGGCGAAGCUCUGUGGCGGCGAGCCGGCGGCCGGGCGAGGCGGAGCUCUGUGGCGGCGAGCCAGCGACGGCUAGGUUAUUCUCGCUGCUGCCUGGCUCGAUUGGGGGAUUUUCUGGAAUGCCUGUACGAUGAGGUCGAAGGAUUGGGUGUGGCCGUGCAAACUAGUUUUAGGCCAUGGACUGGAAUUGGGUGCCUCCGGUUUUAGCCCAUGUAUUAAAACAAAUCGUAUUUUUUGUAUACGUAGUUUGGGCUACCCGGGGCGGCCGACCAUCC
This 857-nucleotide ribosomal RNA is filed under the name Triticum aestivum (bread wheat). Its description in RNAcentral is "partial small subunit ribosomal RNA". Lineage: Eukaryota; Viridiplantae; Streptophyta; Magnoliopsida; Poales; Poaceae. The record is from RNAcentral.